AGAGUUUGAUCAUGGCUCAGGACGAACGCUGGCGGCGCGCCUAACACAUGCAAGUCGAGCGAGAACCAGGGCUUGCCCUGGGGAAAGCGGCGAACGGGUGCGUAACACGUGAGCAACCUGCCCCGAAGACCGGGACAACCCGAGGAAACUCGGACUAAUACCGGAUGCCCUCACCGGAUCGCAUGGUCUGGUGAGGAAAUGGAUUCCGCUUCGGGAUGGGCUCGCGGUCUAUCAGCUUGUUGGUGGGGUAACGGCCUACCAAGGCGACGACGGAUAGCUGGUCUGAGAGGACGAUCAGCCACACUGGGACUGAGACACGGCCCAGACUCCUACGGGAGGCAGCAGUGGGGAAUCUUGCGCAAUGGGGGAAACCCUGACGCAGCGACGCCGCGUGCGGGAUGAAGGCCUUCGGGUUGUAAACCGCUUUCAGCAGGGACGAAAUUGACGGUACCUGCAGAAGAAGGCCCGGCCAACUACGUGCCAGCCGCCGCGGUAAUACA
Molecule: ribosomal RNA, 500 nt
Filed under: uncultured actinomycete
Lineage: Bacteria; Bacillati; Actinomycetota; Actinomycetes; Actinomycetales
Description: bacterial SSU rRNA
Rfam family: Bacterial small subunit ribosomal RNA
Source: RNAcentral